CAAUAGCGUAUAUUAAAGUUGUUGCGGUUAAAAAGCUCGUAGUUGGAUUUCUGUUGGGAACGACCGGUCCGCCCAUUGGGUGUGUAUCUGGCUUGUUCUCGGCAUCUUCUUGGUGAACGUUGCUGCACUUGACUGUGUGGAGCGCUACCCAGGACUUUUACUUUGAGGAAAUUAGAGUGUUUCAAGCAGGCAUAUGCCUUGAAUACAUUAGCAUGGAAUAAUAAGAUAGGACCUCGGUUCUAUUUUGUUGGUUUCUAGAGCUGAGGUAAUGAUUAAUAGGGAUAGUUGGGGGCAUUCGUAUUAACGCGUCAGAGGUGGAAUUCUUGGAUUGCGUUACGACGAACUACUGCGAAAGCAUUUGCCAAGGAUGUUUUCAUUGA
RNAcentral lists this ribosomal RNA (380 nucleotides) under uncultured eukaryote. RNAcentral describes it as "partial 18S ribosomal RNA". It matches the Rfam family "Eukaryotic small subunit ribosomal RNA", at positions 592 to 976 of the family's 1831-position model. The record is from RNAcentral.